GAAAUGCGAUAAGUAAUGUGAAUUGCAGAAUUCAGUGAAUCAUCGAAUCUUUGAACGCACAUUGCGCCCGCCAGUAUUCUGGCGGGCAUGCCUAUUCGUGCGUCAUUACAACCCUCAGGCCCCCGGGCCUGGCGUUGGGGAUCGGCGGAAGCCCCCUGCGGGCACAACGCCGUCCCCCAAAUACAGUGGCGGUCCCGCCGCAGCUUCCAUUGCGUAGUAGCUAACACCUCGCAACUGGAGAGCGGCGCGGCCACGCCGUAAAACACCCAACUUCUGAAUGUUGACCUCGAAUCAGGUAGGAAUACCCGCUGAACUUAAGC
Molecule: unclassified non-coding RNA, 320 nt
Filed under: plant metagenome
Description: partial contains 5.8S ribosomal RNA, internal transcribed spacer 2, and large subunit ribosomal RNA
Rfam family: 5.8S ribosomal RNA (bases 1-105)
Source: RNAcentral